GAGUGUGUAGCUCAGAAGGAGAGCAAUUGACUUUUAAUCAGUUGGUCCAGAGUUCGAUCUCCUGUAUUCCCUC
Molecule: transfer RNA, 73 nt
Filed under: Candidatus Hodgkinia cicadicola
Lineage: Bacteria; Pseudomonadati; Pseudomonadota; Alphaproteobacteria; Hyphomicrobiales
Description: tRNA-Lys
Rfam family: tRNA
About the family: Transfer RNA (tRNA) molecules are approximately 80 nucleotides in length.
Source: RNAcentral